Molecule: unclassified non-coding RNA, 86 nt
Filed under: Pseudomonas psychrophila
Lineage: Bacteria; Pseudomonadati; Pseudomonadota; Gammaproteobacteria; Pseudomonadales; Pseudomonadaceae
Source: RNAcentral
UGUGGGAGCGGGCUUGCUCGCGAUGCAGACGGCGCGGUCUACCUGCAGACCCCGGCGAUACUAUCGCGAGCAAGCCCGCUCCCACA